Molecule: ribosomal RNA, 253 nt
Filed under: uncultured bacterium
Lineage: Bacteria
Description: partial 16S ribosomal RNA
Rfam family: Bacterial small subunit ribosomal RNA
Source: RNAcentral
UACGUAGGGUGCAAAUGUUGUUCGGAAUCACUGGGCGUAAAGGGUGCGUAGGCGGGUUCUUAAGUUAGGUGUUUAAUCCCGGGGCCCAACCCCGGACCGGCGCUUAAAACUGGGAAUCUUGAAUAGUGGAGAGGUCAGUGGAAUUGGAGGUGUAGCGGUGGAAUGCGUAGAGAUCUCCAAGAACACCAGUUGCGAAGGCGGCUGACUGGACACAUAUUGACGCUGAGGCUCGAAAGCAUGGGGAGCAAACAGG